GAACCCUCACCCAGAAUGAAAUGAUAUUUAAGCGGCUGCACCUGGGCACCGUGUCCUAUGGCGCCGACACGAUGGAUGAGAUCCAGAGCCAUGUCAGGGACUCCUACUCACAGAUGCAGUCUCAAGCUGGUGGAAACAAUACUGGUUCAACUCCACUAAGAAAAGCCCAAUCUUCAGCUCCCAAAGUUAGGAAAAGUGUCAGUAGUCGAAUCCAUGAAGCCGUGAAAGCCAUCGUGCUGUGUCACAACGUGACCCCCGUGUAUGAGUCUCGGGCCGGCGUUACUGAGGAGACUGAGUUUGCAGAGGCUGAUCAAGACUUCAGUGAUGAGAAUCGCACCUACCAGGCUUCCAGCCCGGAUGAGGUCAGUCAAAGCACAAAACCGUGGGAGCUUGUCCGUUCCAUUUGGACUCCAGAGUCAUGAGGAUUCAUUCUUUCUGGGAUGGGGAAUAGAGGAGCAGUUUACCGUAGCUUUAAUGUAUGUUUUAGCUGUAUGUGGAAAACUGCCCAACCUAUUCCAGCAUGUAGCCUCUCAUGUAGCCUGGGCCUUGCACAUGCAAAUGUGUGG
RNAcentral lists this small RNA (566 nucleotides) under Pan troglodytes (chimpanzee). Its description in RNAcentral is "retained intron". The record is from RNAcentral. Lineage: Eukaryota; Metazoa; Chordata; Mammalia; Primates; Hominidae.